This is an RNA transcript of Triticum urartu, 3479 nucleotides long. RefSeq lists it as uncharacterized. Lineage: Eukaryota; Viridiplantae; Streptophyta; Magnoliopsida; Poales; Poaceae. The record is from RefSeq and is a predicted model, not a curated record.
CGCUUUGUCGAGAAGAAAUAGAGAGACAGGACGUCGCGUCGAUCCCUUUUCCUUUCCUCCCCAAAACACGCGCCCCUCUCCUCCUCUCCCACAGCUAGGGUUGCCGCCGCCGCCGCCGCCGCCCUCCCCGCGCUCGCGGCCUCUCCACCUCGCAGCAGGAGCUCCCGCGCCGCCCCGUCCCCUCGCCCAUGCAGGCCUCGCCGCAGGAGAGAGGUAGCGCGCCCGCGCCGCCGGGUAGCAGCCACACCCGGAGGAGGUCGUCCAUGGAGCCCGCAUCCCCGUCGUCGACCUUGCGCACACGGAAGGUCUCUGCUGCUGGCCAAGGUCGACCAGGUCGACAGCGCGCUCGCCGGCCUGCAGCUCAUCCUGGAGCCUACGGCUACUAACAUAAAAGAGCAAACUGGAAAUUCAUCUGCAUAUUUUAGGUCGAUUUGAAUGAUGUAAAAGGUCACCGCUGCUGGCCGAGGUCAUGUUGGAUGCCCAUUUGUGGUCCUUUUUCCCUUGUUCUUGUUGUACACACUAUAGAUCAUUUUCAUGGAUUUCUGAUAUGAUUGCUUCAGUGAUGAUUUUUGCAUAACCACAUGCUGAUGGUGCACUUGCCUUUGGAAUUAAAGAUCAGCUUAGCACACUGACCAGAGAUCAUAUAAAAAUACUUGACUCUACAGCAGUAGGAAGGGACAGAUACAGAGAAGGGGAUCAGGGGAGUGGAUUCCCAUAAUGAUGCAAGAAAAAAUGUCUUUGGGUCCAACAUAUAACGUUGAAGGAAAGGAAGAAGCUUCUUGGUAAUGGAGAUGGUUCUCUUAUAUUUGGUAGGAGGUAGAAAAAAUCCAGCAUGGAAAAACACCACAUUCAACAUGGUGUAAUUAUGAUGAUCUAAAUGAGUACUUGUGGUCUGUUUAUGGCCUUAUUUUCUGGUCACAUACCGACACGCGUUUUCAAAUUUUCUCUAAUAUAGAUCCUACUAUGUUUCAGUACAUCUAAUUGUUUCUCGCUAGGAUGGCCAAUGCGGGAUGAUGGCACUGAGGAAUGAUUGAAUACAGCUAAUCAUUUUGGAGGUUUGUUGUAGGCCGCUCUACAAGGUAUUUUGUUAAGAUAUGCUCUUUCUCUGUCUGCCAUUUUAGCCAUCAGUUGAGGAUUUAACUUACCAGGUUUUAUCAUCAUUAAACAUACUUUCUUUUGGAGCCCUGUUUGUUCAUGUUUUGUAGUAUUUUUUCGAGUAUUUGUAAAUUCCUAGCUAAUAGGGGAAACACACAUUUAGGUGUGUGUUUGAGAAAAAAAAUAUUCAUGAGCUUAAGUCCUCAGUGUUUGGUGAAACUUUAAACUAUACACUUGCUAUUUCUGUAGCGUCUUCAGGGGGCAGCUUAUUCUAUCAACAUAUGCCAACCUGCAUAUUUAUUUUGUAUGCAAAUCUAUUCGACCCAAAUGCUUAAUGGUAUUGACUGUACUCUGAAUAUUGUGGGAGAUGUCAUUUUGAGAUUUUGCUAGCCUACUUUCUAUUGGAUUUCACUAUGAAUAUGUCCUUCCUCUAAAUCUGUGGGAAAGGUUCACCAGAAGUGCCAGGUAGAUGUAGCACUGACACUACAUUCCUAAAUAUAAGUCUCAAAAAGAAUAUUAGUACACCGGUCUUUAUGAUGCAAUGAACUUUGUUUCCCUAAUUGAACUGAUGCAGCGAAUAUUAGUACACCGGUCUUUUUCAACAAUACUCCUGACAUUAACGACCCAAAUGCGUGUUCAAUUUGACUGCCAUCUGAUAUUUCUACAAGGUAAUAUCAAAACAGAAAGAUAUGGAAGGGCAUGUUUUUUUUGUACAAUGUGAAGUAUAUUCAUGAAUGGGUAACUGGUACCUUCAUUUGAAUCAACUUCGUCAAAGAAUUUUGCUGCCAUGCGAUGCUCUUCAGUUAUGCGAGUGAUGAUCUAACAUUGUGCAAGUACACAGUUUCUUAUGUUAGCUUAGUUAAUCCAAACACACCAUGCCCAUGAUCAUCUGAAUAAACUGAAGGACAUGCAUGAUAUCACCGAGAGUGAAUACAGUGAUGUGCCUUGAUAUAAUAUGAAUAAUUUUUAUGUGUAAUUACAUUGAUUAGAUGCUGCUGCUUUUGUAAUAAGGUAUUAGCUUGCAUACGUGCAAUUUUUAGCUAGCAUUAUUCUUAGGAGGAUGGAGGCACUAUUACCCCUCCCUCUUCGUCACACGCCUAUCAGUCGUGGGCGUCGCCACCGACCGCCGAGACCUGGUCUGCUACGGAAUGCGUCGCUAAAAAGAUUGAGUAACAUCUUUCCAACAUACUUCUAUUUGUGAUGCUUUGUUCUGGAGUGCUAUCAUAAUUUCAUUGAUGUGCUAUUGUGCUUAUAAGUACUGAUGAUGGAUUCUAUUUCUAUGGCAAAUAUCCAUUUCAUAUUUUUGUAGCAUUGUUAAGUGUUUUGUUUGCCCUGAUUUGCAGUGUGUGUUAUGCUUGAAAGAGAUCAACUUUCCCUAUCUAGUGGCACUAACUUUGUUGCAUAUGGUGUUCUCAUCUGUAGUAUGCUUUGCAGCUACAAAGAUUUUCAAGAUACUUAAUAGCUAUACUGCCAUGGGUCAUUUGGCUAAUGGAGGUGUGUGGUGCAAUCUAAGCUGGACUACAACUUGUCUCAGCAGCACCCAAUGGCAGGCUGAAUGGUGUGGUGGCAUCUCCAAACCCUCAUGUGCCGUCCGUAGGGCAGUGGGCAACAAUAGGGCAGCAGGAUUACAAGAAUGCCAACAUGUAUGUUGGCGCUGACCCCUACGUAGUAUUACUACGGAGGCUGGGCGGAUUAUUCAGUCUAUGUGGGCGUUGACGGAGCAGAGUCAUUUAACCCUGGAAAUGUGCUAGCAAGGGUAUGAUUGAGCAUGAUGGACAUGAUGGAUGGCAGGAAAUAGAACUAUAGAAAGGGAGAUCUCGUAAAGUGUUUCGGCGAAUGGCGAUGCAAUGCUUGUGCUCCAGGGAGCAGGCCAAUGUGGUUGGAUGAGCUGUAUGCCAAAAAUGAUUGUCUUCAGGAAGCCAAGUUGUCUCUCGAGGAGGGUGGAUCCCUUAACUAUGAGAUUAUUUCAAGUCGCAAGAUAUUAGCAUAGACCUAAGCAUGUUGUGCUUCAAGAUGAGGAGCCAGGCCUGACGGCAAACACAGGAAGAGGUGGUGCGAUGGAAGAAUAUGGCUUGGACAAUUCCAGCGAGAUGUGGCUCCAGUGGAUGUCGGCGAUGCAGCAAUGAGAAGAUCCUUUAAUUUGGCUGCUCCCCUGUCCUCCCAAUCGUUUGUUUUCUUAGAAUUUAUUUCUCUUUCUUUCAUGAGUAGGGUUUAAUCUUUUGAAGUUUGUACAAGGGGUUUGAUGACCACCUGAUUGCCAUUCCUCUUCUCCUUGCCUUUCUUUUGGAGCAUGUUAGGCUUUGAUUUCAAUUUAAUGUUGUCCUCUACCAUCCACCUUGUAAGACUCUCACCUACUAUAUGAUAAUAUGGACCUAUUACCUUGA